RNAcentral lists this long non-coding RNA (1760 nucleotides) under Pan troglodytes (chimpanzee). RNAcentral describes it as "long non-coding RNA NONPTRT011413". Lineage: Eukaryota; Metazoa; Chordata; Mammalia; Primates; Hominidae. The record is from RNAcentral.
UGGAAGUUGAGCAGCCAUCAUGCUCCACCGAGGAAGUGAGGGUGAAUGGAGCCAAGAGAUGUGGAGGGAGAAACUGGUUCCAGGAAACACCCUCUAUUCCCUAUCGCUUCAUGCUGCGAGUAACAGGGGUUAUUCAAAAGCACACUGGAGAAAGCAGGAAGAGCGCCACCUGCAGCUUGGGUAGGCUCCAUUUCGAGGAUGGAAUCAAUCCACUGUGGCUCCGAGGCCUGCCGCCUGCUUGCGACAGUUAAAUGCCUUCGGUUUUUGAGUUAUUUAAAGAACAUACCCUUUUAUGGGCAGGAGGAAGCACUUUAAUCUGCAAAAUGAUUUUUAUCACAAACUAAACAUCCUUGUAACUUUUUGGUCCUCUGCUUUGGUCGAAGUUGUCUCUCCUUGGAGCUCAGACAGCUGUUGGAGCUCAGAAGAUCUGCCUCCACCCUGCACUUUGCCCUGCUCGCUGGUACUGUGGUGCUCUCCAAUUCCUGGAUCCAUGUGGGAUGUAAGAACUCAGGAUCAGGACGCCUGCACGCAUCAAAAUGGGGCAUUUUCUUUCUCUUUAUCCCAGGACUUGAGAGAAAGCAAAAAACAAACACGAACAAAAAAAAAAAAACAAGAAUUCCUCUAAUUUAAGGUUUUUAACCUUGACACUUGAAGUUUUGGGCCAAUUAUUUGUCAUCAGGACUGCUUUGUGCAAUGUAGGAUAUUCCUGGCCUCUACCCACUAGAUGACCCAUUAGCACCCCUCAUUUGGGACAACCAAAAAUGUCCGUGGACAUUGACAAAUAACCAGGGAUGGGGGCCAAGAUCCCCCCUCAUUCCCCAGCUCCCCAUUUCCUGGUUAAAAACCACUGCUGACAGCAUCUUUAAAAACAUAAUUCCUUGUAGUAUUAUGUUGUGAGAUUGAGAGAACCACCACCCUCCUUAGAACUUUACAAAAGCCAUAUAAAAUAUCCCCUGAGGAGAACUGACUUAAACUUCAAGAUAGCAGCCUGCGCAACAUAGUGAAAUCCCAUCUCUACGGAAAAAAAAAAAACACAAAAAGUAGCCAGGCACGGUGGCACGAACCUGUAGUACCAACUAUCCGGAAGGCUGAGGUGGGAGGAUUCCUUGAGCCUCGGAGGUCAAGGCUGCAGUGAGCCCUGAUGGUGCCACUGCACUCCAGCUUGGCCGACAGAACGAGACCUUGACUCCAAAAUAGCAAUACUACUGUCUAUCAGGGCUAUGAAGCCACAUAAGACUUGACCCAUUAAGGACAAGAGUGAAGAAAAAUGUAUCAAAUAGAAAUAAUUUUAUCUAAACACUGGCAAGAGGAAAAAGACAUGGAGGAGAAACUUAGAAAUGAAAAGCAGCGAGGCAUCUAUAUGUUUUUCCGAGGCAAAAUUUACAUACCAUCAAGGUCAUCCAUGGUAAGUGUAAAGUUCAACGAUUUUAAGUAAACUUAUAGAAUUGUGCGAUCAGCACCACAAACCAGUUUUAGAAUGUAUCUACUAUCUCCAAAAGACCCUGCAACUGUUACAGUAAACUUCCCUUAAUUUUUGCAGCAAAUGUUCUAGAGUUGAAAAGAAAGCUCUUUCUACAUCUGCAAGGCUGAUUCAUUUUUCUCCCUUCCAAGAACUCUACUAAAAAAAUUAUUUGUUGCUUAUCUGAAAUGCAAAUGUAACUGGAUGUCCUGUAUUUGUGAAAUUCCGGCAACCCUAAUCCAGGACCAAAGCAGAAUUAACCAAAUAAAUGAAAGUGCAUGUCUAGAAAUAAAUGUACUUU